Molecule: ribosomal RNA, 468 nt
Filed under: uncultured bacterium
Lineage: Bacteria
Description: partial 16S ribosomal RNA
Rfam family: Bacterial small subunit ribosomal RNA
Source: RNAcentral
GACGAACGCUGGCGGCGUGCUUAACACAUGCAAGUCGAACGGAAAGGCCCUGCUUUUGUGGGGUGCUCGAGUGGCGAACGGGUGAGUAACACGUGAGUAACCUGCCCUUGACUUUGGGAUAACUUCAGGAAACUGGGGCUAAUACCGGAUAGGAGCUCCUGCUGCGUGGUGGGGGGUGGAAAGUUUCGGCGGUUGGGGAUGGACUCGCGGCUUAUCAGCUUGUUGGUGGGGUAGUGGCUUACCAAGGCUUUGACGGGUAGCCGGCCUGAGAGGGUGACCGGCCACAUUGGGACUGAGAUACGGCCCAGACUCGUACGGGAGGCAGCAGUGGGGAAUAUGGCACAAUGGGCGGAAGCCUGAUGCAGCAACGCCGCGUUCGGGAUGACGGCCUUCGGGUUGUAAACCGCUUUCGCCUGUGACGAAGCGUGAGUGACGGUAAUGGGUAAAGAAGCACCGGCUAACUACGUG